UACGGAGGUGGCAAGCGUUAUCCGGAAUCAUUGGGCGUAAAGGGUGCGUAGGCGGCUUCUUAAGUUUGCAGUGAAAGCGUAGAGCUCAACUCUAUUAAGCUGCAAAAACUGGGAGGCUAGAGUGCGGUAGAGGCAAGUGGAAUUCCAUGUGUAGCGGUAAAAUGCGUAGAUAUAUGGAGGAACACCGGUGGCGAAGGCGGCUUGCUGGGCCAUAACUGACGCUGAGGCACGAAAGCGUGGGGAGCAAAUA
RNAcentral lists this ribosomal RNA (250 nucleotides) under uncultured prokaryote. RNAcentral's name for it is "partial 16S ribosomal RNA". It matches the Rfam family "Bacterial small subunit ribosomal RNA", at positions 524 to 774 of the family's 1533-position model. The record is from RNAcentral.